Molecule: ribosomal RNA, 369 nt
Filed under: uncultured Methanosaeta sp.
Lineage: Archaea; Methanobacteriati; Methanobacteriota; Methanomicrobia; Methanotrichales; Methanotrichaceae
Description: bacterial SSU rRNA
Rfam family: Archaeal small subunit ribosomal RNA
Source: RNAcentral
UCCGGAUUAGCUGAGAGGUGGUGCAUGGCCGUCGUCAGUUCGUACUGCGAAGCAUCCUGUUAAGUCAGGCAACGAGCGAGACCCACGUCCACAGUUGCCAGCAUACCCUCCGGGGUGAUGGGUACACUGUGGAGACCGCCGCUGCUAAAGCGGAGGAAGGAAUGGGCAACGGUAGGUCAGUAUGCCCCGAAUCUCCCGGGCUACACGCGGGCUACAAUGGUUGGUACAAUGGGCAUCUACCCCGAAAGGGGAAGGAAAUCUCUUAAAGCCAAUCGUAGUUCGGAUUGAGGGCUGCAACUCGCCCUCAUGAAGCUGGAAUCCGUAGUAAUCGCGUUUCAACAGAACGCGGUGAAUACGUCCCUGCUCCUU